Long non-coding RNA from Dreissena polymorpha, 1264 nucleotides. RefSeq lists it as uncharacterized. Lineage: Eukaryota; Metazoa; Mollusca; Bivalvia; Myida; Dreissenidae. The record is from RefSeq and is a predicted model, not a curated record. The transcript has 3 exons.
UUAUAAUAUAUAACAGCCUUUUCUAAUUGGCUGAAUUCAAAUACAGAAAGUUUACCUGUUAGAUUGAAACAUGAAACAUGGUGGACAAUGUACUGGUUUAACUUGUUAAAAUAAAGUUAAAGAAAUUUAACAAACAGAAGAGUUCAUUAGUUUUUCCAUUAAAAACACUUUCUUAAAAUACUUAUGUAUUUAUAUCAUUUGGAAAGUGACAUGAAAUAUUGCUAAAGAGUGAUGCAUACAGUGUUUGAGCAGUCUGUCUAGGAAUAGAACAACAACUGAAGUUGAUGGAAGAUACUGCAGAGUUUGGCAGGGAAAUAAUCCAACAGCAAAGCGGCUCUUUAAGCGCAUUUACCUAGAGGACUUACAGGGCUACAAAUUCAUGAGCACAUGUGAGCAGUAUACAAUGUACCUCAUACCAAAAAGGACCCGGAGGCAGUGACUGGUGUUCAAUAUUCUCAGAAGAAAAGGAAAAUGGCAGUGGAAGACUUGGACAAACAUUUUUAGCCUCUGUGUUAAGCCUGGCAGUCUGUGGCUGGUGACAUGUUUUAUUUUGGUUACUUCUUGUAAAAAAAAGACCAGUUAUUUAUUUUGUGAAUUGUAUUUUGUGUUUGUUUUUUGUCUUAAUUUAUUUGUUGUUUUUUUUAAUUUAGGAAUUUGAAACUUGGAUAAUUGAAUUAAGUCCGUGUUCAACAGUACUGAGCAUAGUAUAAUAAAUAACAAAUUUACAACAGUUGUUAAUUUGUUAUGUAUUAUUAUUAACUAUGCUCAGUACUUGAAUACUGGCUGUCUGCAUGGGAAUUUGUUUUCUAGAAAGUUGGUUUCAGACUUAAAUAUUUGAAGUUAACCUUCGGAACUUUUCUAGAAUUGUACUGGAACACAUCAACUAGAACUGAACUUCUGUUAUCUUACUGAAAGUGUUCUAGAAUUAAUAAGGAACAGUUGUUGAACGUUAAAAUUUAUGAGAAAAAACUCUAGAACAAGUGUGUGUGAUGUGUGUGUGCAUGUAAUUGUGUGUGUUUAUGAACAUAUGUGAGAAAGGAAGUAUACUUGUCAUAAAAGAAAUGUAAAAUUCUACUUCUAUGUUUUAUAUUGUGCCUUUUAUAAGUUUUUCUGUUCUCACCUGUAUAUGCGUGCAUGUUUAUGGAUGUGUUUUUGAAUGUGUGCAUGCAUGCCUGUGGUUAAGAGAGUUGGUACUUUAUGAAAAUGUAAAACCACUCAUUUUUGAAUAUGUACUGUGACUGCAUGUGUGUGGUAAAUGAUUGAU